This 498-nucleotide ribosomal RNA is filed under the name uncultured bacterium. Its description in RNAcentral is "partial 16S ribosomal RNA". It matches the Rfam family "Bacterial small subunit ribosomal RNA", at positions 30 to 523 of the family's 1533-position model. The record is from RNAcentral.
AUUGAACGCUGGCGGCAUGCCUUACACAUGGAAGUCGAACGGUAACAGGUCUUCGGAUGCUGACGAGUGGCGAACGGGUGAGUAAUACAUCGGAACGUGCCCGAGAGUGGGGGAUAACGAAGCGAAAGCUUUGCGAAUACCGCAUACGAUCUCAGGAUGAAAGCAGGGGACCGCAAGGCCUUGCGCUCACGGAGCGGCCGAUGGCAGAUUAGGUAGUUGGUGGGAUAAAAGCUUACCAAGCCGACGAUCUGUAGCUGGUCUGAGAGGACGACCAGCCACACUGGGACUGAGACACGGCCCAGACUCCUACGGGAGGCAGCAGUGGGGAAUUUUGGACAAUGGGCGCAAGCCUGAUCCAGCCAUGCCGCGUGCAGGAUGAAGGCCCUCGGGUUGUAAACUGCUUUUGUACGGAACGAAAAGACUCUGGUUAAUACCUGGGGUCCAUGAUGGUACCGUAAGAAUAAGCACCGGCUAACUACGUGCCAGCAGCCGCCGUAA